CCACGAGCGCUUUGAGAUGCCGGUGUGCAAGGACAUCUCGGGCUCUCUAAGCACCAAAUUUGUGAUCUUGCAUAUGAACACAAGCCAUUGCCUCCUGUUGUUAAUAUUUCACACUUGGCUUUGCAAGAUGUUUUAUCUAAUAUCCUCUCUGCAUUCAGGCUUCAACCAAUCCUGCCUUGUCCACAACAGGAGAGGCUGGAGGAGGAAGGCAAUUGCCAAGCACGUCUGUAAUCUACGUAGGAGGGUUUUGUGUAGCUGUAGGGGGAGAAGACCACGGAAGCUCAGUGCCAGCUGUCGGCUUCACCCAGCCAGCAGUGGGCCUCACCUCCACGGUGCCAGGAAAACAAACUGAAAGGAAGGGUCGCAAUUCAGUCUGCGGACAGACAGAGAAGAGAGAUUCAGCUGCAGUGCCUAAGCCGAUAAUCUUCUUGGAAGCACCCUCAGACAGCAGGGCCUGGUACUUCAGCUCCUCCAAGAACAAAACCUCUACAAAUCCUUCAUCCCAAAAAACGUUUUGAGGUUUUCAACUUACGUUAAAGCCCUACCUGAAUACCGCAAGAACAGAACCUUUCAUUGCGCGAUGUCCGUGUGCCCAAGAAGGCUGUGCCCGGCACACUGCUGCCUUGCUCCUGCUGAGCCUGAGUUUUUGGGGGCGGGAGGGGAAGCGCUCAAGGAAAAGGAGUAGUAGAAAUAUACUUUUGACUGUGGAAAAAAAUAGCACCUUCGGUUCUCGUUUCCUAAGGCUCC
Long non-coding RNA from Gallus gallus (chicken), 747 nucleotides. Lineage: Eukaryota; Metazoa; Chordata; Aves; Galliformes; Phasianidae. The record is from Ensembl.